RNAcentral lists this long non-coding RNA (381 nucleotides) under Homo sapiens (human). Its description in RNAcentral is "HSALNT0399814". The record is from RNAcentral. Lineage: Eukaryota; Metazoa; Chordata; Mammalia; Primates; Hominidae.
UAGACAUAGGGACUGGGGUUUGUGUGAGGUCACCCAGGUGAUUGCACAGCGCCAGCCCUCAAAGCCAGGUCUAGGGCUCCAUCCCACUUCCCAAGAUGCCCUGAAGUCUUGAGGUGUCUGCUAGGAAAGCGUUGCAUUACUGGGCCAGGAAAGAAGCUUCAUAUUACAACAGGCUGACAUGUUUUUAGCUCAAGAGUGGAGACUUCUGUCAAUCAUGUGGGAUCAUGAAUGCCUGAAAGGUUGGAGGUCCAUGCGUUGACCAAGAAGAACUCCAGCUGCUUCAGAUUGCUUGAUUGUCACUGAAAAGUACACUCAAUAUGAAGAAGAUUGCAGUUAACUGGAGAUUAAAAUUAGAUGUCUUAAUAAGGCAAAUCAUUUCAA